GGACAGGUGACCGAUGGACAGGUGAGUGAUGGACAGGUGACCGAUGGACAGGUGAGUGAUGGACAGGUGACUGAUGGACAGGUGAGUGAUGGACAAGUCCACUCCAGUUCACAGGUGAAAUAAAUCAGAAGUUUUAGUUUUUCCUGUUUUGAGGAAGGUGUUUCAGUUUCCAGCAGGUUCUUCACCUGCUUUGUGCGCACGUGUGAUCAAUCAGAACAAUCAGUGUGACAAACAGGAAACAGAACAAACUGUACAGUUUCACAGACCAAAGGAAAAGCAGUUGGAAUUGGCUCUUUCAAAAUAAAAGACCCUCCGGUUGCAGGAGACUGAGGAGCAGAGCAAGGCAUGUGUGUAUUUGUGUGUUUUAGGUGACAGAUGGUGUGUUUGUUUAAAAGUGUGUGUGUUUGUACUCAUCUUGCUAACAUAGUUAGGACCUUAGUUUAACCCUUGUUAUGGUGAUAUGUGUGUGUGUUGUGG
Molecule: long non-coding RNA, 477 nt
Organism: Austrofundulus limnaeus
Lineage: Eukaryota; Metazoa; Chordata; Actinopteri; Cyprinodontiformes; Rivulidae
Exons: 2
Source: RefSeq, a predicted model, not a curated record